CUUAUCAAGAGCGGUGGAGGGAACGGCCCGAUGAAACCCAGCAACCUGUUAUUCAAGGUGCUAAAUCCGGCGGCAACGAAAGAUGAG
Molecule: non-coding RNA, 87 nt
Filed under: uncultured Faecousia sp.
Lineage: Bacteria; Bacillati; Bacillota; Clostridia; Eubacteriales; Oscillospiraceae
Description: SAM riboswitch (S box leader)
Rfam family: SAM riboswitch aptamer (S box leader)
About the family: The SAM riboswitch is found upstream of a number of genes which code for proteins involved in methionine or cysteine biosynthesis in Gram-positive bacteria.
Source: RNAcentral